Molecule: small nuclear RNA, 114 nt
Organism: Megalobrama amblycephala (Wuchang bream)
Lineage: Eukaryota; Metazoa; Chordata; Actinopteri; Cypriniformes; Xenocyprididae
Product: U5 spliceosomal RNA
Exons: 1
Source: RefSeq, a predicted model, not a curated record
ACUCAUGUUUCUCUUCAUAUCGUAUAAAUCUUUUGCCUUUUACUAAAGAUUCCCGUGGAGAGGAACACUAUGAAUAUAAACAAAUUUUUAGAAGCCCUGCUGAAAGGCGGGGCC